CGGGGCUCCGCCCCACGCCAUCCUCCCGGCAAGCCCCGCGCUGCCCGGACCGGAAGAAGGCCUGCCGGGAGUCGUAGUUUCGGUGCCUACAGCUCCGGACUGGCCUCUGGGGAAGGGCGCGGCAGCGGGCACAUCUUUUUGCCAGAACUCAAGAGAUCGUCAGCCGCCUCCAGGAGGCACAGUACUAAAUCCUUUCUUCUCCAGCUGAAGGGGCUUGAAGGCUGCAGCCCUGCUUCUCAGUGCCCACUGGGCACUCCUGCUGGGACCCGAGGCUGCCCAGCCAGUAGAGUUGAGAGACAACAGUGGGCUCAGGGAAUCAGCCAGAUCUGGAGUCUGGAAGCUCUGAAAAGCUCCUGCCCACACGGGGCUCAGCUGGGUGGAGGGCAGCAUAGAGCUGAGACCAACCACCCCUCCAGGUGCUGGGCAGUGAAGCAAGGUGGCAGCCUGCCCCUCCUGUCUGCAGGGAUGGGGCUUCCUCCUGCUGUCAUCAAAGCGGCCCUGGAAUCUGCUGCUCCUGCCUCAGAAUCCGAGGGUCACGCAAGCAAGUCACACUCUCUACAAAGAGAAGGAUACAAGGACUGUGCAGCCUGUCACUGAGUGACUGGGAAAGCUGACCACUAUGUCAAGGGACAAGCCCACUGUACUUGUUCAAGGCUCAGUGUUCUGGGUGUGAGCCCGCUGAGUUCAUGAUGCGGCAGUAAAUCAACGCCACUUCCCGCCCAGUCACCACCGAAAACCCCACAACA
Erinaceus europaeus (western European hedgehog) is the source of this 746-nucleotide long non-coding RNA. RefSeq lists it as uncharacterized. The transcript has 3 exons. NCBI's taxonomy places the organism in Eukaryota, Metazoa, Chordata, Mammalia, Eulipotyphla, Erinaceidae. The record is from RefSeq and is a predicted model, not a curated record.